Molecule: long non-coding RNA, 1256 nt
Organism: Portunus trituberculatus (swimming crab)
Lineage: Eukaryota; Metazoa; Arthropoda; Malacostraca; Decapoda; Portunidae
Exons: 5
Source: RefSeq, a predicted model, not a curated record
UAAAAAAAAAAAAAAAUUUAAAUAAGCGAAUUCCGUAGUCUCUAUUGGUAACCCAGGAGGAAAACAAAUACAAAGUCCCUGUGUGAUGUGUGUCAAGUAGCCUUGAUUUCCAGCGUUACCCUGUGGCGGGGCGUCCCUUAUUGCUAUGGGGAAUGUUGCCAUGGGUGGAUUACUUCAACAUCAACAUGUGGAAGUUUGGAGCCAGGAAUCCAGUGGUAGGGGUGGUGGUGGUGGUGCAGAGCCUGGAGGAUGAAAUGGACUUGUCUGAGUGCAACCCAGCGCUCAAAGUCUCCGCCUUACCAACACACUAAUACAGAUUGUGUUAAGAUGCGGAGAAAGAUAGACCAAGGCAAGAGGAGUAGGAGGAAGAGGAGGAAGAAAGAGGUAGUGGAAGAUAAGAAGAGGAAGAGAAGAAAGAAGGAAUGAAGAGAAAAAAGAAAAGAUUGUCUUAAGAUAUGAAUAAAGAGAGGCUAAGACAGGAGGAGGAGGAGAAAGAGGAAGAGGAAGAGAAGAAAGAAGGAAUGAAAAAAAAAAAGGUCUGGGCCAAGAACUGCAGACAUAAUGGUUGUGUGCUUUGCUGCCUGACAAUUGCAACAAGAAGAGAAAUUGUGACCCAUUUCCCCCACCCCCCUGCUUAAAUGAUGUCAGUAUAUGAGCACAUGAAUGUAUAUCUGGUGUAUGGUUGCCUAAUGUAUGUUAGUUAGGUUAGUUUAGGUUAGGUUGGUCAAGAUGUAGUAAUUUACAAUAGCCUACACAUUUAACUGCCAGGAAAUCUGUUGGAAAUUGCAAAUUGUGUACUUUACUUCAUUGUUUAAGACAUUCAUUUUUACCUAAGUGGUUUGUUCGGUUGGUUUAUCUGUGAUGUGACGCACAUAAGGUAGCACUAUUUUCUCCAACUUCUUUUAUCAUUACCAUUAGCUCUUGUUUAGAAUAACAAAGAUCAUUAUUGCUGUAUUGGGACUGAUAGUAACAGGUGACAAAUUUACUGUUCUGUUUGUUAUUGUGUUUCCAAAUUAACUAUCAUCUGUGCAGCCAGCCUGCUUCAUACUCUUCUCUUUCACCCAUAUGUAUUUUCAUUGCAUGUAUUAGAAAUUUUUAUGCACAAUUUCAUUUCCUCACCCUGCCAUCUUUAUUAUGAUAAAGUAUUUACCCUAUAGGAAAAGAAAAUGUACAUUAUUUAUCUAUUCUUUAUUAAGGUUAGUUUCUAUACUACAAUGUUUAAGCCAUCUUUCAUGCAAAAAUAUAUGAAAAUGAAA